AGCUGUUUUGGGACUACAACUCCCAUCUUCCCUGGCUAGCAGGCCCAGUGGUCAGGGAUGAUGGGAAUUGUAGUCCCAACACAGCU
RNAcentral lists this microRNA precursor (86 nucleotides) under Podarcis lilfordi (Lilford's wall lizard). Lineage: Eukaryota; Metazoa; Chordata; Lepidosauria; Squamata; Lacertidae. The record is from RNAcentral.